UACGUAGGUGGCAAGCGUUGUCCGGAUUUAUUGGGUUUAAAGGGUGCGUAGGCGGUCUAUUAAGUCAGUGGUGAAAUACUCCAGCUUAACUGGAGGGGUGCCAUUGAUACUGAUGGACUUGAGUCAAGUCGAGGUAGGCGGAAUUGACGGUGUAGCGGUGAAAUGCUUAGAUAUCGUCAAGAACACCAAUAGUGAAGACAGCUUACUGGGCUUAAACUGACGCUCAUGCACGAAAGCGUGGGGAGCAAACAGG
Molecule: ribosomal RNA, 253 nt
Filed under: uncultured bacterium
Lineage: Bacteria
Description: partial 16S ribosomal RNA
Rfam family: Bacterial small subunit ribosomal RNA
Source: RNAcentral